RNAcentral lists this unclassified non-coding RNA (32 nucleotides) under Microsporidium sp. Fribourg. RNAcentral's name for it is "16S-23S ribosomal RNA intergenic spacer". Lineage: Eukaryota; Fungi; Microsporidia. The record is from RNAcentral.
GCAGAGCGUUUUAGGGUUUAAUAUGUAUGUAU